GCAAGAUGGUAGAUCGUAUAUAAAUCUUAGAUUAUGAAUGAAAUCCAUAUUUAAUCAGUGUAUGUUCUAAGAAUAACCAAUUAAGUAGUGACAGCCCAAAGAAGGGUCUUCAUAUUGAUAUAUUGGGGUAAUAAUGUUUAAUACACACUUCUAGAUGUAGAUCAAGUGGUGAUAGCAAGAAGUAUAAAACUUGUAAGAAUUAUUAGUAUCGGAAAUGUGGUGAGUCAAUAAUAAGGAAUACAGGGAAUAAAUAAACACGCAGGGUUAUUUACUAAAGUGAGAAUUGUGGGACAUUCAAAGACAAUUCAAGGUUGGGUUUCAAAUUUAAGGCCAAAGUGGGCAAACUGGAUAACUUCUACAAGUCAGUUAUGCUU
Non-coding RNA from Pelobates cultripes (western spadefoot toad), 374 nucleotides. The record is from the annotation of a GenBank genome assembly. Lineage: Eukaryota; Metazoa; Chordata; Amphibia; Anura; Pelobatidae.